GCGGUGGCCGAGGCGGUUCCCGAUGCAAUGUCCGAUGCCGAGGCGGUGCCCGAGGCGGUUCCCGAGGCCGAGGCGGUGGCCGAGGCGGUGCCCGAGGCCGAGGCGGUGCCCGAUGCCGUGCCAGAGAUGGUGCCAGAGAUGGUUCCCGAUGUAAUGCCCGAGACCGAGGCUGUUCCGGAGGUCGAGGCGGUGCCCGAUGUUGUUCCCGAUGCCGAGGCGGUGACCGAUACCGUUCCCGAGGCGGUGCCCGAUGCCGAGGUCGUUCCCGAGGCGGUGUCCUUGUCCGAUGCCGUUCCUGAGGCCAUUCCCGAGGCGGUGCCCGAUGCCGAGGUCGUUCCCGAGGCGGUGUCCUUGUCCGAUGCCAUUCCCGAGGCCGUUCCUGAGACCGUUCCCGAGGCGGUGCCCGAUGCCGAGGUCGUUCCCGAGGCGGUGUCCUUGUCCGAUGCCAUUCCCGAGGCGGUGCCCGAUGCUGUUCCGGAGGCCGAUGCGCGGCCCGAGAUGGUUCCGGAGGCGAUACCCGUGUCCAAGGCCGUUCCCGAGGCGGUGCCCUUGUCUGAGGCCGUUCCCGAUGCCGUUCCCAAUGCCGUGACCGGGCCAUCGCCACAGCCUGCUCCUUACUGGCUCCCCGAUUGGCUGGUUCCGUUCGGGUCACUCAAAUGGCGAAUUCCUCCCUGGCCGUCUGCACAACGAGAAUGGACUGAUCCACCGUGGCCACCUGAACUGCCUGGCCCCUCGUGGUCCCCUGAACUUUCGGGUCCACCGUGGCCACCUGAACUGCCUGGUCCCUCGUGGUCCCCUGAACUUUCGGGCCCACCAUGGCCCCCUGAUCUGACCGAGCCACCUGGGCUACCAGGGGAGCCAUCGCUGCCGGUCCCAGUUCCCCUACACGGGCCUGGCCCGCCAUCCCUCCCCCUGUUCUGCCUCCACCAGUCCACCUCCCUCCUGGUC
Long non-coding RNA from Cyprinus carpio carpio, 948 nucleotides. Lineage: Eukaryota; Metazoa; Chordata; Actinopteri; Cypriniformes; Cyprinidae. The record is from Ensembl.